UCGCCCUUUUCCGGUUGAUCCUGCCGGACCCGACUGCUAUCGGAUUGGGAUUUAGCCAUGUUAGUUGUGCGUUCCUUGGCUACAGGGGACGCAGCGUACGGCUCAGUAACACGUAGUCAACCUGCCCUGGAGACGCGGAUAACCCCGGGAAACUGGGACCAAUCCGCGAUAGGUCGCCCCAUCUGGAAGGAGGGGCGGCCCAAAGGGGAAUUGUGGGCUUCCACUUUUCUCGCUCUAGGAUGGGACUGCGGCCGAUCAGGCUGUUGGCGGGGUAAUGGCCCACCAAACCUGUAACCGGUACGGGCCUUGAGAGAGGUGGCCCGGAGAUGGACACUGAGACAAGGGUCCAGGUCCUACGGGGCGCAGCAGGCGCGAAACCUUCGCAAUGUGCGAAAGCAUGACGAGGUUAAUCCGAGUGGCUUCCGCUGAGGAAGUCUUUUGCCGACUGUAAAAAGGUCGGAGAAUAAGGGGAGGGCAAGUCUGGUGUCAGCCGCCGCGGUAAUACCAGCUCCUCGAGUGGUCGGGGCGAUUAUUGGGCCUAAAGCAUCCGUAGCCGGUUCCGUAGGUCUCCUGCAAAAUCCAGUCGCUCAACGAUUGGCCCGCAGGAGAUACCGCGGGACUAGGAGGCGGGAGAGGUGGACGGUACUCCACGUGUAGGGGUAAAAUCCUUUGAUCCGUGGAAGACCACCAGUGGCGAAGGCGGUCCACCAGAACGCGCUCGACGGUGAGGGAUGAAAGCUGGGGGAGCGAACCGGAUUAGAUACCCGGGUGGUCCCAGCCGUAAACGAUGCUAGCUAGAUGAUCCGAUCGUAAAUCAUGAUCGGAGUGUCGCAGGGAAGCCGUUAAGCUAGCCGCCUGGGGAGUACGGUCGCAAGACUGAAACUUAAAGGAAUUGGCGGGGGAGCACCACAAGGGGUGAAGCCUGCGGUUCAAUUGGAGUCAACGCCAGGAAACUUACCAGGAGAGACAGCAGAUUGAGGGUCAGACUGAAGAUCUUACCUGACGAGCUGAGAGGAGGUGCAUGGCCGUCGCCAGCUCGUGCCGUGAGGCGUCCUGUUAAGUCAGGCAACGAGCGAGACCCAAAGGGCGAA
RNAcentral lists this ribosomal RNA (1091 nucleotides) under uncultured Nitrososphaerota archaeon. RNAcentral describes it as "bacterial SSU rRNA". It matches the Rfam family "Archaeal small subunit ribosomal RNA", at positions 1 to 1063 of the family's 1478-position model. Lineage: Archaea; Thermoproteati; Nitrososphaerota. The record is from RNAcentral.